RNAcentral lists this ribosomal RNA (442 nucleotides) under uncultured bacterium. Its description in RNAcentral is "partial 16S ribosomal RNA". It matches the Rfam family "Bacterial small subunit ribosomal RNA", at positions 339 to 795 of the family's 1533-position model. The record is from RNAcentral.
CUACGGGUUGCACCAGUCGAGAAUUUUUCACAAUGGGGGAAACCCUGAUGGAGCGACGCCGCGUGGAGGAUGAAGGUUUUCGGAUUGUAAACUCCUGUCAAAUGGGAACAAGAAAGUGAUAGUACCAUUAGAGGAAGAGACGGCUAACUCUGUGCCAGCAGCCGCGGUAAUACAGAGGUCUCAAGCGUUGUUCGGAUUCAUUGGGCGUAAAGGGUGCGCAGGCUGUGGGGUAAGUCGGAUGUGAAAUUUAGGGGCUCAACCUCUAAACUGCAUUCGAUACUGCUCCGCUAGAGGUAUGUAGAGGAGAUUGGAAUUCACGGUGUAGCAGUGAAAUGCGUAGAUAUCGUGAGGAAGACCAGUGGCGAAGGCGAAUCUCUGGGCAUUACCUGACGCUCAUGCACGAAGGCCAGGGGAGCAAACGGGAUUAGAUACCCUAGUAGUC